CCCAUGUCUUUGUUAUAUGAUAGAAUAAUACGUGAGGAGGAGCAGGGAAAUGAAAACUUAGCGCCAAACAACCACUAAUCGUCUUCAAUUUCCCAUAGAAAAUCGAAACGUCUUCCGACACUUGGAAACAUGUUGUCGAUUGGAUGCCUAGAAGUUGCGUCUCUGAUAAAUAAAAGUAAGAUGUGGCAUCUGUAUUUUUCGCUUUCAGUCAAUUUCUCUGAUAUUUGGUUUCUAAAUACUCCAAUUUCUAUAGUUUUCAAGUUCUAGUUUGUGAUUUCUGAUAUUUCUAAUCUGGUUAAAAGAUCUCGGUUCAAGCCUUCUAGGUCCGAGAUAUUGUGAUUCUGAUACAACGAUUCUAAUUUGGGUGGGUUGAAUUUCUCUUAUUCCGACUUCUCAUUCUAAUUUCUGAUGUGAUUUAUGUUUAGGGUUUUUGUUAUUUGUUUCGGAAAUCAGAUUGUUUUUUGUGGUUGUUCAUGUUUUACUAGACUCGAUUUCUUCUCUCUUUGAGUUCGAAAUCUACUUAUUUAGGUUUGUUUCAAAAAUCUGCUUGAUUUCUUCUCUUUUUUAUUACAAAAAAAAUCAAAGUCUUUUAAAGACCUAUUUGGAUUUUGGUAUCUGAUUUCACCUCUGUUUGAGCUAUUAUUCCUCCUCUCUUUGGCUCGAAAUUUUUAGCUUUGUAUAUGAUUUUUGUGGUUUGCUUCAGUAAAGUGCAAUGCUAUUGCUAGCUAGUAAUUAAAAGUGCAUUGUUAUUGUUUGGUAAUACAGGAAAGUGCAAUGGUAUGGCUGGAUCAAUCUCGAAAGUACAUUGAUGUGGCUAGCUUAUUUUCAAAAGCUGAAUGUUGCUAUUUUCAUUAUUAAUUUAAUAAUUUUUGGUGAUGUAACUUGUAGUAGUUAUUACUUUAAUUUUACCCAUAUUAUUUUCCAGCCACAAUUGGCUUUUUUGUUAUUUAAUUUAGCUUUGUACUUUAAAAAAAUGUUCUCCUAAAAGCUGUUUUAUUUUUAUUAUUUAUUAUUUUGAUUAUUAUUUGCUUUUUAAGAGGAAUAGUUAGGGGUUGUUUGAUAUGCUCAUGGUAGAUUCUAAAUGGCCUUGAUAUCUCUCAAAUAUGAUAUGGGGUUUAUUUUUUUGCCCAAGCUGGUAUGUUUUUUGAUCGCUUCAAUGAAAGUUUGAAGUUAAGUAUGAUUUGGAUGUUUUUAUAGCCUUUGUUUAUGGUCUCGUAAGUGUUGCAGUAGCUUCAAAAUUCUGUUGUUGUUGCACAUUUGGUGCAAAGUACAUGUCUUUAGAUGUUAGCCCCAUAAAGUUCAUUGUCUUUUUCUAAACAAAUUUUGAUUGACCUCUACUACGAGUUUUUUAGUUUUAGUUGCUUUUUUGUUGUCUAUUUUAACGAUUGCGUGUACAUAUUGUUUUUGGUUGUAUUUUUACAAAUAUUUGAAUACAAAUAUAUAUUGAACUUCUGUUUUAUACAUGUUAGCUAUGUAUGUAUUUGGUGUAUUGUAUGGUACAAGCAUGGGGGCAUUAUGAUUUUCAUCUCGCCCGGGGCAUAGAAAACCAAUGGACCGGCCCUGGUGAAUGCAAUACAGAGCAUGAUUGUUGACGGCGCCUUCUUCCCCAAAUCCUUAUAGGGCAUUUGAUUCGUCAUAUUACCCUCGAUCUUCUGCUCUCAAUUCUCAAGUAACUCUCUCUCACUCUCUCACGUCGUCUGACCACUACCAUCAGAACUAACAAAUGGUAGCGUUAUACCGCACCACCAUAAG
RNAcentral lists this long non-coding RNA (1752 nucleotides) under Lactuca sativa (garden lettuce). RNAcentral's name for it is "long non-coding RNA (LSAT_LNC009179)". The record is from RNAcentral. Lineage: Eukaryota; Viridiplantae; Streptophyta; Magnoliopsida; Asterales; Asteraceae.